This 378-nucleotide ribosomal RNA is filed under the name Adenomera heyeri. RNAcentral describes it as "partial 12S ribosomal RNA". Lineage: Eukaryota; Metazoa; Chordata; Amphibia; Anura; Leptodactylidae. The record is from RNAcentral.
CUUGCAAUCAGUUUUUUCUUGAUUUACACAUGCAAGUAUCCGCACCCCUGUGAAAACGCCCUUAAAUUCCUCCUAGGGAUAAGGAGCUGGUAUCAGGCACAUCUUACUGCCCAAGACACCUAGCUACGCCACACCCACAAGGGACUUCAGCAGUGAUUAACUUUGAUUAUCAGCGACAGCUUGAUUCAGUUAAAGAAAACAGAGCCGGCUAAUCUGGUGCCAGCCGCCGCGGUUACACCACGUGGCUCAAAUUGACUUCUGUCGGCGUAAAGAGUGAUUUAAGAACCCCAAAAAUUGGCGUCAAAUUUUAACUAAGCUGUGACACGCUUGUCCCUUAGAAGCACUAAGACGAAAGUUACACCAACUAAACCAACUUGA